GCCCAGAUGGCGGAACUGGUAGACGCGUCAGACUCAAAAUCUGGUAUUCGCAAGGAUGUGCAGGUUCGAUUCCUGUUCUGGGCACAA
Molecule: transfer RNA, 87 nt
Filed under: Sphingobacteriales bacterium
Lineage: Bacteria; Pseudomonadati; Bacteroidota; Sphingobacteriia; Sphingobacteriales
Description: tRNA-Leu
Rfam family: tRNA
About the family: Transfer RNA (tRNA) molecules are approximately 80 nucleotides in length. Their secondary structure includes four short double-helical elements and three loops (D, anti-codon, and T loops). Further hydrogen bonds mediate the characteristic L-shaped molecular structure. tRNAs have two regions of fundamental functional importance: the anti-codon, which is responsible for specific mRNA codon recognition, and the 3' end, to which the tRNAs corresponding amino acid is attached (by aminoacyl-tRNA synthetases). tRNAs cope with the degeneracy of the genetic code in two manners: having more than one tRNA (with a specific anti-codon) for a particular amino acid; and 'wobble' base-pairing, i.e. permitting non-standard base-pairing at the 3rd anti-codon position.
Source: RNAcentral